AUGUGAUACGCCAUAUGUAUGUGCAUGUGUGUAUACUUGUGUGUGCAUGUACAUGUGUGUAUAUGAUUAUACAUAUACAUACACACAUACACACACUCACAGGCAAGAAUUUCACUCAUCUAUACUUUUUA
RNAcentral lists this microRNA precursor (131 nucleotides) under Mus pahari (shrew mouse). RNAcentral's name for it is "miRNA (MGP_PahariEiJ_G0006956.1)". Lineage: Eukaryota; Metazoa; Chordata; Mammalia; Rodentia; Muridae. The record is from RNAcentral.